AGUGUAUGUUAGGAUGAAGUGUGAAUUCAUGCCAGGAAUAAUAAGUGUGAAGUUUGAUUUCCUCCCUUCUGUAAUAAGCAGCCAAUGAGUUCUCACUGAAGGGGAUAAUUCUCACUGAAACUACUGAAUAAAGCCGCCAGUUAAAAUCA
Molecule: long non-coding RNA, 149 nt
Organism: Oncorhynchus nerka (sockeye salmon)
Lineage: Eukaryota; Metazoa; Chordata; Actinopteri; Salmoniformes; Salmonidae
Exons: 2
Source: RefSeq, a predicted model, not a curated record